Molecule: signal recognition particle RNA, 95 nt
Filed under: Bacilli bacterium
Lineage: Bacteria; Bacillati; Bacillota; Bacilli
Also listed under: 1 other name
Description: signal recognition particle sRNA small type
Rfam family: Bacterial small signal recognition particle RNA (bases 6-88)
About the family: The signal recognition particle (SRP) is a universally conserved ribonucleoprotein involved in the co-translational targeting of proteins to membranes. Archaeal SRP consists of a 7S RNA and homologues of the eukaryotic SRP19 and SRP54 proteins. In most bacteria, the SRP consists of a 4.5S RNA and the Ffh protein (a homologue of the eukaryotic SRP54 protein).
Source: RNAcentral
CUUAUAUAGACGUAACAAACCCCUUAAUAUAAUUGGUCAGGAUCGAAAGAUAGCAGCCCUAUUAAGUGGGAUUGUGUACGUCGUUUUUUAAUGUU